RNAcentral lists this ribosomal RNA (497 nucleotides) under uncultured bacterium. RNAcentral describes it as "partial 16S ribosomal RNA". It matches the Rfam family "Bacterial small subunit ribosomal RNA", at positions 28 to 507 of the family's 1533-position model. The record is from RNAcentral.
GAUGAACGCUGGCGGCGUGCCUAAUACAUGCAAGUCGAGCGAACGGACGAGAAGCUUGCUUCUCUGAUGUUAGCGGCGGACGGGUGAGUAACACGUGGAUAACCUACCUAUAAGACUGGGAUAACUUCGGGAAACCGGAGCUAAUACCGGAUAAUAUUUUGAACCGCAUGGUUCAAAAGUGAAAGACGGUCUUGCUGUCACUUAUAGAUGGAUCCGCGCUGCAUUAGCUAGUUGGUAAGGUAACGGCUUACCAAGGCAACGAGGCAUAGCCGACCUGAGAGGGUGAUCGGCCACACGGGAACUGAGACACGGUACAGACUCCUAGGGGAGGCGGCAGUAGGGAAUCUUCCGGGAAGGGGGAAAGCCUAACGGAGCAACGCCGCGUGAGUGAUGAAGGUCUUCGGAUCGUAAAACGCUGUUAUUAGGGAAGAACAUAUGUGUAAGUAACUGUGCACAUCUUGACGGUACCUAGUCAGAAAGCCACGGCUAACUACGUG